GUAUAAAUUAAAAGUUUUCCAUUUUAUUAAAAUAACGUAUGAUUACAACAACUCAAACACCAAAUUAGACAACUACAAAAGAUAGGCACCCCAGGCUAGUCGAGCUCCCGUCGAUGAAGCAAAAGAGGAUGGCCCGUAGAAUAAGCCUAUUUCUUGAGGCUCAACAGCUCUCCGUCUUCUCUAUCAUUGCUCUGCACCUCGACUUUGGCAUCGCUAUCCGUAGUAAGGUUGAGGCUACUAAAGUCGGCCUAGGAGAGUAGCUUUGACACUUGGCUUUGACAUUCAUUGAAGACCUCCAUGAAAAUCUUGACUGCAGUUAGAGCAAGCCAUGUGUUGUAGAUCCUGAUGCCUUGAACUUCUUUAUCUCCCAGAAAGCUUCCUUCUCAGCUAGGGCAACCCAAAAUCAGGCAAUCUUCAACUCCUCCUCCGCCACAGCCACUCGGAGCAUCGCCGCUUGGGUCUAAUCCUUCUCAACUACCGGCCGAGUUUUGAGGGACCCAACUUUGGCCUCCGCCUCAACAGUCUUCAACCUUCUCUCUAGCCUCCCAUAAAUCAAGCCAAGGCGUCUCUACUUGAUUCUGAAGAUGUCAUUCUCAGGGAGAGUUUAUCCCAAAAAAAAAAGGGGCAAAGGGGUUAAGAGGAACGCCAACCUCCCAAAAGAAAAGAAGGAAGAAAAUGGCCCCCCAAGUCUGCUUCCAUAACAACUUGAAGCGUGGGCACUAUAGAAGCUUUCCUUAGGGCAAUAGAAAGAGUAUCUGGAACUUCCUCAGAUAUGAUGAGUUUACAAAAGCAUUUUCUCCUUUUUGUAAGGCUUUGAAUGGCUUGGAUCAAUUCAAUCGAUCAUCAUUUCUCUCAAAUCGAUAGAUGUGUGUCGUAUUUCUAUUGCUCCAAAUGGUCAAACAACGCCUCGAGAGGCAGAGCAUCCAGACUCGUCCCACAAGGGAGCACCACUCAAGAGUUACUAAUCUCCUUAAAGCAUCACAUAUUCUGACAAAAUGGUUACUUUCUUCAGCCAAAUCGAGAGAGACACUUUGGACUCGGAGGUGGGGGAACCAAAGUAGGGGCAAUUAAUAACUAGCAUGAUGUGGUGUAUAAGGACUCGUCUAACUCACAACCCAUGCGGCGGUCCCAGCAUAUCCAGGUCUCCUUCAAGACAUCCUAGCCUGGCCUUCUUCCAUAGGCAUGGACAGCAAGCUAAGUAGAACAAAAGGGACCAACCUCUAAGACUGCCACUUCCCAACUUGGCUUGGCAACCUCAGCCAUUGAGGCAUAUUGAACAGAGCACCUCCAUAGGGGAAGCAGUUUAGCCUUCCACUGCUUCAAAGGCACGCCUAACUCCGCCACGAACAAUGUUAUUACAACACGUCUCUAAGGCUAAUAUGCCAUGUCAGCAGUUU
Molecule: long non-coding RNA, 1397 nt
Filed under: Phoenix dactylifera (date palm)
Lineage: Eukaryota; Viridiplantae; Streptophyta; Magnoliopsida; Arecales; Arecaceae
Description: long non-coding RNA (PDAC_LNC006902)
Source: RNAcentral